This 433-nucleotide ribosomal RNA is filed under the name uncultured bacterium. RNAcentral describes it as "partial 16S ribosomal RNA". It matches the Rfam family "Bacterial small subunit ribosomal RNA", at positions 29 to 507 of the family's 1533-position model. The record is from RNAcentral.
AGCGAACGCUGGCGGCAGGCCUAACACAUGCAAGUCGAACGAACUCUUCGGAGUUAGUGGCGGACGGGUGAGUAACACGUGGGAACGUGCCUUUUGGUUCGGAAUAACUCAGGGAAACUUGUGCUAAUACCGAAUGUGCCCUUCGGGGGAAAGAUUUAUCGCCAUUAGAGCGGCCCGCGUCUGAUUAGCUAGUUGGUGAGGUAACGGCUCACCAAGGCGACGAUCAGUAGCUGGUCUGAGAGGAUGACCAGCCACACUGGGACUGAGACACGGCCCAGACUCCUACGGGAGGCAGCAGUGGGGAAUCUUGCGCAAUGGGCGAAAGCCUGACGCAGCCACGCCGCGUGAAUGAUGAAGGUCUUAGGAUUGUAAAAUUCUUUCACCGGGGACGAUAAUGACGGUACCCGGAGAAGAAGCCCCGGCUAACUUCGUG